RNAcentral lists this ribosomal RNA (443 nucleotides) under uncultured bacterium. RNAcentral's name for it is "partial 16S ribosomal RNA". It matches the Rfam family "Bacterial small subunit ribosomal RNA", at positions 338 to 795 of the family's 1533-position model. The record is from RNAcentral.
CCUACGGGAGGCAGCAGUGGGGAAUAUUGGGCAAUGGGCGCAAGCCUGACCCAGCGACGCCGCGUGAGUGAAGAAGGCUUUCGGUUUGUAAACUUCUUUUCUCAGGGACGAAACAAGUGACGGUACCUGACUAAUAAGCCACGGCUAACUACGUGCCAGCAGCCGCGGUAAUACGUAGGUGGCAAGCGUUAUCCGGAUUUACUGGGUGUAAAGGGCGUGUAGGCGGGACUGCAAGUCAGAUGUGAAAACCACGGGCUCAACCUGCGGCCUGCAUUUGAAACUGUAGUGCUGGAGUACUGGAGAGGUAGGCGGAAUUCCUAGUGUAGCGGUGAAAUGCGUAGAUAUUAGGAGGAACACCAGUGGCGAAGGCGGCUUGCUGGACAGUAACUGACGCUGAGGCGCGAAAGCGUGGGGAGCAAACAGGAUUAGAUACCCGAGUAGUC